Carya illinoinensis is the source of this 476-nucleotide long non-coding RNA. RefSeq lists it as uncharacterized. The record is from RefSeq and is a predicted model, not a curated record. NCBI's taxonomy places the organism in Eukaryota, Viridiplantae, Streptophyta, Magnoliopsida, Fagales, Juglandaceae. The transcript is spliced from 2 exons.
GCUCCUCUUAACCUAUAAAUAGCCAUCCAAUAUACCUAGAAGCUCCUCUUAACCUAUAAAUAGCCAUCGCCACCUUUUCGAAUCAAUCACGAAUUUCACGGCACUCAGAACUCCGCCUUCCCAUCCCGCAAUUUAGUAAAACCUUCCAAUACCUUGCUCAUCCAACACAACCCCAAAGGAGGGAGACAUUGUGCAAGUGAAGAAUGCCAGCCCAGCGAAGAAGAGCAUAUGCAAAGCUUCUGCUAUACACCAAAGGACUUCUUAGAAAUCUCCAAUCCUCCAAACGGCUCCGGAAAACUAAUACCAUCAUGCGAAAUAUAUGCAUUAGACUAACUAUGAAGUCACAGAUACAGAAAAGGGGGACGAUUUCUUUUUUUAACCGAAGAAACUUCUUUGUUAUUACAUAGCAUAUACAAAGCAAAAGACCAAGCUGCUUGACAAGGAUGAUUGAUAUGACAUGAAAAUCUGCUAGCAAA